AUUUUUUUUUGGUUUUUCUUAAGGUUUAUUAAACACACAAGAAGAAAGCAUAAAAAGGAAAAUAAACUAGCAUGGAUGAUACAAUGAAAAAGUAUGAGCACCGACAUCUAGCAAUGAGUGUGUGAAUAUAAAUGUAAUGUCGAUGGGAAAUACGUACUCCCCCAAGCUUAGGCUUUUGGCCUAAGUUGGUCUAUGGCCAUGGCUGGCCUGGCGGAUAUCCAUAAUAGUAGCUGGGGCCGUACUGCGAUGCAGCAACUAUCGCCUGCUGAGCUGCAGCGCGGCGAUGAGCGGCCUCCUCUCUCCUCUCAUACUCAUCUACCUCCUCUAUGGUAAUAGUAUAUCUUCCUCUUGCCUGAUAAUAAAAGAAGGCAGGAGCAGGGAGAGUAAUAUGGACAGCACGGCGUCUGUCAAAGAUUAGUCGAUACUGGAGAGGUGAUUCGUUCCUCUCAACAAACUGGUGGUGAACCAUAGCAUUAAAAUCUACAUAAGCAGGAGGUAAUUCAAUAUCAUCUUCGCGUAUGGCUACACCAAGAAAAUUAGCUAUGCGGGUUGCAUAAAUCCCACCGAAGAAAUCUCCAUUAAAUCUAUUAAGAUGCAACCUACAUGCAACAAUGGAUCCCAAAUUAUAAGAUUUGUCUCCUAACACAGCACUCCUAAGAAUACUGAGGUCAGGGACACACAUGUGACAUGCUUCAUCUUUACCAUUUAUGCAUCUACCUAUGAAGAGAGCAAAAUAAUGUAUAGUAGGAAAGUGAAUGAUCCCUAUGGUAGCUUGUGUAAUAUCUCUAGAUUCUCCCACAGUUAUGCUAGCAAGAAAAUCUCUAAAUUCAGAUUUGCGAAGAUCCCUUAUACUACCACAUUAUGGAAGUUUGCAUGCAGUUGUAAAAUCCUCUAAGUCCACAGUGUAAGAAUUAUCAUAAAGAUCAAACAGGACAGUUGGAGAAUUACGUGAAGUUGAAAAUUCAAACCUCCUCACAAAGGUACUGGUGAGGUUAUGAUACUGGCUGCACUUCUCUUCCUCGAAGCUCACGAGAUCAGCAUUAUGCAAAUAUGCAUUGAAUUCAUCCUUAAUUCCCGCUCGAUCCAUAAAGUUCUCAGAAGUCCAUUCACAAGGACGCACUAGAGCGUCUCUUGGUGGCUCGUCAUCAGCAUCACGCAUUGCAAGCCUGGGUCCUUGCUUCUUUGAAGAACCACCUUGGAACAUUUCCCUAAGCAUAUUUCUUCCUCUGAAAAAUUCUGAAAUUUUUUAGUAACUUCAAAAUAAAAGUAAACCAAACUCAAUAAUAUUGAUAGCAACUACUCCUACAAGUGCCUAGGGCCUAUAUCAUGCAUCAAAACUACUUUUGACCAUAUAAAUUUGACAUGCAAGCUCAAGAACAGGGUCACCUAAGCAGCAAAAUUUUGCAAUGAAUAAAGCACUAGAACAAAAACUAAUUGGACCAAUGGAGGAGUCACAUACCAAGGAACAAUCUCCCCAAGAAGUUUUGUGAGAGGUGCUUUGAGCAAAGAGAUCGAAAAUGGCAGCAAAGUGAGCUAGAACUCGUGCUUGAGCUGGAUAUUCGUGUUUGUGGGAGGAAAAGGAGUGUGUGGGUGAAAGGAUAAGCGGAGGAGGGCCACCGUGGGCCCACGAGGCACGGGGCGCGCCCUCCACCCUCGUGGGCAGGUGGUUGACCCCCCUACUGUGUUCUUAGUGCCAAAUAUUCUCAAAUAUUCUAGAAAAAAUCAUAUUUAAAUUUCAGGGCAUUUGGAGAACUUUUAUGUUUGAGGUAUUUUUAUAUUGCACGGAUAAUCAGAUAACAGACAGAAAAAUAUUUGUUUUUAUUUUAUUUAAUAUAAAUAUCAGAAAGUAAAAGUGGGGUACAGAAGGUUGUGCCUUCUAGUUUCAUCCAUCUCAUGAUCAUCAAAAGGAAUCCACUAACAAGGUUGAUCAAGUCUUGUCAACGAACUCAUUCCGAAUAACAUGGAACCGGAGAAAUUUCGAAUAACACUAUGUUACCUCAAUGUGGAUAUGCACCUCCCCAAUAAUAAGAAUAUCAUAUUUCUUCUUGACAGUAGGAAGAGGAAAUUCAAAACCUCCAAAUAUAAUCGAUGGAAUUUUUCCAAUAGAGUUGAUACUAUGAACUUGAGGUUGUUUCCUCGGAAAGUAUACUGUAUGCUCAUUACCAUUAACAUGAAAAGUAACAUUGCCUUUAGUGCAAUCAAUAAUAGCCACUAUAGUAUUUAAAAAGGGUCUUCCAAGAAUAAUAGACAUACUAUCGUCCUCGGGAAUAUCAAGAAUAACAAAGUCCGUUAAAAUAGUAACGUUUGCAACUACAACAGGCACAUCCUCACAAAUACCGACAGGCAUAGCAGUUGAUUUAUCAGCCAUUUGCAAAGAUAUUUCAGUAGGUGUCAACUUAUUUAAAUCAAGUCUACGAUAUAAAGAGAGAGGCAUAAGACUAACACCGGCUCCAAGAUCACAUAAAGCAGUUUUAACAUAGUUUCUUUUAAUAGAGCAUGGUAUAGUGGGUACUCCUGGAUCUCCAAGUUUCUUUGGUAUUCCACCCUUAAAAUUAUAAUUAGCAAGCAUGGUGGCAAUUUCAGCUUCCGGUAUCUUUCUUUUAUUUGUAAUAAUAUCUUUCAUGUACUUAGCAUAAGGAUUUGUUUUGAGCAUAUCAGUUAAUCGCAUACGCAAAAAGAUAGGUCUAAUCAUUUCAGCAAAGCGCUCAAAAUCCUCAUCAUCCUUUUUCUUGGAUGGUUUGGGAGGAAAAGGCAUGGGUUUCUGAACCCAGGGCUCUCUUUCUUUACCAUGUUUCCUAGCAACAAAAUCUUUCUUAUCAUAACGUUGAUUCUAUGAUUGUGGGUUAUCAAGAUCAACAGCAGGUUGAAUUUCUAUAUCAUUAUCAUUACUAGGUUGAGCAUAUCAUGAACAUUAUCAUUAGCAUUAUUACUAGUUUCAGGUUCAUUACCAGAUUGAGUUUUAGCAUCAGAAAUAGAAAUAUCAUCUGGAUUCUCAGGUGUUUCAACAAUAGGAUCACUAGAAGCAUGCAAAGUCCUAUCAUUUUUCUUUUUCUUCUUUUUAGAAGAACUAGGUACAUCUAUAUUAUUUCUCUGCGAAUCUUGCUCAAUUCUCUUAGGGUGGCCUUCGGGAUACAAAGGUUCCUGAGUCAUUCUACCAGUUCUAGUAGCCACUCUAACAUCAUUAUCAUUAUCUUUACUAUUCAAUUCAUUGAGCAAAUCAUUUUGGGCUUUAAGUACUUGUUCUACUUGAGUGGUAACCAUAGAAGCAUGUUUACUAAUAAGUUUAAGUUCACCUUUGACAUUAGCCAUAUAAUCACCCAAGUGUUCAAGCAUAUUUGAAUUGUAUUUCAAUUGUCUACCAAAAUAAGCAUUAAAGUCUUCUUGCUUAGCCAUAAAUUUAUCAAACUCAUCUAAGCAUGGGCUAGCAAAUUUAGUAAAUGGGAUUUCAGCUUUAUCAUAUCUAUAGAGAUAAUUUACCUUUACUACCUGUGUCGGGUUAUCAAGACCAUGAGUUUCUUCAAUAGGUAAUGAAUUAAGAUUAAAUGUUUCUUCAAUAGGCGGUAAAUUAAGACCAUGUAUUUCUUCAGUAGGAGGUAAAUUCUUAACAUCUUCAGCUUUAAUACCUUUUUCUUUCAUAGAUUUCUUUGCCUCUUGCAUAUCUUCGGGACUGAGAAAUAGAACACCCCUCUUCUUUGGAGUUGGUUUAGGAAUAGGCUCAGGAAUUGGCCCCGGAGGUGUCCAAUUAUUUUCAUUUGUCAACAUAUUAUUCAAUAGAAUUUCAGCUUCAUCCGGUGUUCUUUCCCUGAAAACAGAACCAGCACAACUAUCCAGGUAAUCUCUGAAGGCAUCGAUUAGUCCAUUAUAAAAGAUAUCAAGUAUUUUAUUUUUCUUAAGAGGAUGAUCAGGCAAAGCAUUAAGUAAUUGGAGAAGCUUCCCCCAAGCUUGUGGGAGACUCUCUUCUUCAAUUUGCACAAAAUUAUAUAUAUCCCUUAAAGCAGCUUGUUUCUUAUGAGCAGGGAAAUAUUUAGCAAAGAAGUAAUAAAUCAUAUCCUGGGGACUACGCACACAACCAGGAUCAAGAGAAUUAAAUCAUAUCUUAGCAUCACCCUUUAAUGAGAACGGAAAUAUUUUAAGGAUAUAAAAGUAACGAGUUCUCUCAUCUUUAGUGAACAGGGUGGCUAUAUCAUUCAGUUUAGUAAGAUGUGCCACAAUAGUUUCAGAUUCAUAACAAUGAAAGGAUCAGAUUCAACCAAAGUAAUUAUAUCAGGAUCAACAGAGAAUUCAUAAUCCUUAUUGGUAACAAAGAUAGGUGAAGUAGCAAAAGCAGGGUCAGGUUUCAUUCUAGCAUUUAGAGAUUGCUUACUCCAUUUAGCUAAUAAUAUUUUGAGUUCAUUUAUAUUUUUGCAAGCUAAAAUAGCUAAAGAAGCUUCUUGAUCAAAAACAUAACCCUUAGGAAUAAGAAGUGAUUCUUCAUCAUCACUUUCAUCAGUAUCAUCAGAUUCAAUAUUUUCAAUCUCUCUAGCCCUAGCAAGUUGUUCAUCAAGAAAAUCCCUAAGUGGCACAGUAGUAUCAGGCAUAGAGGUAGUUUCAUCAUAAGUAUCAUGCAUAGCAGAACUGGCAUCAUCAAUAACAUGCGACAUAUCAGAACGAAUAGCAGAAGCAGGUGUAGGUGUCGCAAGCUUACUCAUAACAGAAGGUGAAUCAAGUCCAGAGCUAGAUGGCAGUUCCUUACCUCCCCUCGUAGUUGAGGGAUAGAUCUUGGUUUUUGGAUCUCUCAAGUUCUUAAUAAUGAUAAGCAGAUAUAUAUCCCAAGUGACUCAAAGAAUAGAGCUAUGCUCCCCGGCAACGGCACCAGAAAAUUGUCUUGAUAACCCGCAAGUAUAGGGGAUCGCAACAGUUUUCUAGGGUAAAGUAUUCAACCCAAAUUUAUUGAUUCGACACAAGAGGAGCCAAAGAAUACUCUCAAGUAUUGGUAGCUGAGUUGUCAAGUCAACCACACCUGGAAACUUAAUAUCUGCAGCAAAGUAUUUAGUAGCAAAGUAAUAUGAUAGUAGUGAUAACGGUAACAAAAGGUAACGGUAGUAAAAGCAAUGUUUUUGGUAUUUCGUAGUGAUGAUAGCAAUAGCAACGGGAAAGUAAAUAAUCGAAGAACAAUAUGUCCAAAGCUCGUAGGCAAUGGAUCGGUGAUGGAGAAUAAUGCCAGAUGCGGUUCAUCAUGUAACACUCAUGACCUAGGGUGACAUAGAACUAGCUCCAGUUCAUUGAUAUAAUGUAGGCAUGUAUUCCAAACAUAGUCAUAUGUGCUUAUGGAAAAGAACUUGCAUGACAUCUUUUGUACUACCCUCCCGUGGAAGCGGGGUCCUUACGGAAACUAAGGGAUAUUAAGGCCUCCUUUUAAUAGAGAACCGGAACAAAGCAUUAACACAUAGUGAAUACAUGAACUCCUCAAACUACGGUCAUCACCGGUAAGUAUCCCGAUUAUUGUCACUUCGGGGUUAACGGAUCAUAACACAUAAUAGAUGAUUAUAGACUUGCAAGAUAGGAUCAAGAACACUCAUAUAUUGAUGAAAACAUAAUAGGUUCAGAUCUGAAAUCGUGGCACUCGGGCCCUAGUGACAAGCAUUAAGCAUAGCAAAGUCAUAGCAACAUCAAUCUCAGAACAUAGUGGACACUAGGGAUCAAACCCUAACAAAACUAACUCGAUUACAUGAUAGAUCCCAUCAAACCCAUCACUGUCCAGCAAGCCUACGAUGGAAUUACUCACGCACGGCAGUGAGAAUCAUGAAAUUGGUGAUGGGGGAUGGUUGAUGAUGACGAUGGCGACAGAUUCCCCUCUCUGGAGCCCCGAACGGACUCCAGAUUAGCCCUCCCGAGAGGUUUUAGGGCUUGGCGGCGGCUCCGUAUCGUAAAACGCGAUGAUUUCUUCUCCCUAAUUUUUUCUCCCCGAAACACAAUAUAUGGAGUUGGAGUUGGAGUCGGAGAGGCAACAGGGGGCCCACGAGGUAGGGGCACACCUCCCACCCUCGUGGAGAGGUGGUGGGCCCCUGGCCUUCAUCUUUUGCAGGUAUUUUUCUUAUUUUCUAAAAAGUGGCUCCAUGAAGUUUCAGGUCAUUCUGAGAACGUUUGUUUCUGCACAUAAAUAACACCAUGGUAAUUCUACUAAAAACAGCGUCAGUCCGGGUUAGUUCCAUUCAAAUCAUGCAAGUUAGAGUCCAAAACAAGGGCAAAAGUGUUUGGAAAAGUAGAUACGACAGAGACGUAUCAAUGCCCCCUCCGGCUUAGUGCCGGAAAAGGCCCCAAGAUGGGAUCUCUUGGGUACAGAAGGUUGCGGCGGUGGAAAUAGGGUUUCGUGGUGCUCCUGGAUGUUUUCAGGGUAUAUGAGUAUAUAUAGGCGAAGGAAGUCGGUCAAGAGAGCCACGAGGGGCCCACGAGGGUGGGAGGUGCACCCAGGGGGGCAGGCGCGCCUCCCUGCCUCGUGGCCUCCUCGGUUCUUUCUUGACGUCCACUCCAAGUCCUCUGGAUCACGUUUGUUCCAAAAAUCACUCUCCCGGAGGUUUCAUUCCGUUUGGACUCCGUUUGAUAUUCCUUUUCUGCAGAACACUGAAAUAGGCAAAAAAACAGCAAUUUGCACUGGGCCUUGGAUUAAUAGGUUAGUCUCGAAAAUAAUAUAAAAGUGUAUAAUAAAGCCCAUUAAACAUCCACAACAGAAUAUAUAAUAGCAUGGAGCAAUCAAAAAUUAUAGAUACGUUGGAGACGUAUCAUGGACCUAGUCCGUGUAGUUGCUCCCAUCAUCUUUCAAUUUAGCUUUCUCUAGGAACGCAUUAAAAUUCAACGGAACAAUAGCACGGGCCAUCUAUCUAUAAUAACAUAGACAUGCAAAAUACUAUUAGGUACUAAGUCCAUGCUAAAUUAAAGUUCAAUUAAUCAUAUUACUUAAGAACUCCCACUUAGAUAGACAUCCCUCUAAUCAUCUAAGUGAUCCAUAUCAACUAAACCAUGUCCGAUCAUCACAUGAGAUGGAGUAGUUUUCAAUGAUGAAUAUCACUAUGUUGAUCAUAUCUACUAUAUGAUUCACGCUCCACCUUUCGGUCUCAGUGUUCCGAGGCCAUAUCUGCAUAUCCUAGGCUCGUCAAGUUUAACCCGAGUAUUCCACGUGUGCAAAACUGGCUUGCACCCGUUGUAUGUGAACAUAGAGCUUAUCACACCCAAUCAUCACGUGGUGUCUCGGCACGACGAACUGUAGCAACGGUGCAUACUCAGGGAGAACCCUUGUACCUUGAAAUUUAGUGAGUGAUCAUCUUAUAAUUCUACCGCCGAACUAAGCAAAAUAAGAUGCAUAAAUGAUAAACAUCACAUGCAAUCAAUAUAAGUGAUAUGAUAUGGCCAUCAUCAUCUUGUGCCUUUGAUCUCCAUCUCCAAAGCACCAUCAUGAUCACCAUCAUCACCGGCUUGACACCUUGAUCUCCAUGGAAGCAUACUGCUUAGUGAUAAAGUAAAGCAAUUACAUGGAGAUUGCAUUUCAUACAAUAAAGCGACAACCAUAUGGUUCCUGCCAGUUGCCGAUAACUCUGUUACAAAACAUGAUCAUCUCAUACAAUAAAAUUUAGCAUCAUGUCUUGACCAUAUCACAUCACAACAUGCCCUGCAAAAACAAGUUAGAUGUCCUCUACUUUGUUGUUGCAAGUUUUACGUGGCUGCUACGGGCUGAGUAAGAACUGUUCUUACCUACGCAUCAAAAACCACAACACGGUAUAGUGAUUGCUUUUUUAUCUUCAGAAAGAACCUUGUUCAUCGAAUCCGAUUCAACUAAAGUUGGAUAAACUGACACCCACUAGCCACCUUUGUGCGAAGCACGUCGGUAGAACCAGUCUCGCGUAAGCGUACGUGUAAUGUCUGUCUGAGCCGCUUCAUCCAACAAUACCGCUAAAUCAAGAAUCAACUAGUGAUGGCAAGCAAUAUGUAUAUACCCACGCCCACAACUCCUUUGUGUUCUACUCGUGCAUAUAACAUCUAUGUAUAGACCUCGCUCUGAUACCACUGUUGGGAAACGCAGUAAUUUUAAAAAAAUUCCUACACACACGCAAGAUCCAUCUAGGUGAUUGAUACGUCUUCAACGUAUCUAUAAUUUUUGUUUGUUCCAUGCUAUUAUAUUAUCAACCCUGGAUGUUUUAUAUGCAUUUAUAUGCUAUUUUAUAUGAUUUUUGGGACUAACCUAUUAACCUAGAGCCCAGUUCCAGUUUCUAUUUUUUCCUUGUUUUAGAGUAUCGCAGAAAAGGAAAAUCAAACGGAGUCCAAUUGACCUGAAACUUCACGAAACUUAUUUUCGGACCAGACGAAGCCCACGGAGUAUCGGAGAUGGACCAGAAGAGUCCCGGGCUACCCACGAGGGUGGGGGCGCGCCCCCUGCCUCGUGGACAGCCCGGAGAUCCACCGACGUACUUCUUCCUCCUAUAUAUAUCCAUAUACCCUAAAAACUUCGGGGAGCAGAAUAGAUCGGGAGUUCCACCGCCAGAAGCCUCCAUAGCCACCAAAAACCAAUCUAGACCCGUUUCGGCACCCUGCCGGAGGGGGGAAUCCCUCUCCGGUUGCCAUCUUCAUCAUCCCGGCGCUCUCCAUGACGAGGAGGGAGUAGUUCACCUUGGGGCUGAGGGUAUGUACCAGUAGCUAUGUGUUUGAUCUCUCUCUGUCUCAUGUUCUUGAGGUGAUACGAUCUUCAUGUAUCGCGAGCUUUGCUAUUAUAGUUGGAGCUUAUGAUGUUUCUCCCCCUCUACUCUCUUGUAAUGGAUUGAGUUUUCCCUUUGAAGUUAUCUUUUCAGAUUGAGUCUUUAAGGAUUUGAGAACACUUGAUGUAUGUCUUGCACGUGCUUAUCUAUGGUGACAAUGGGAUAUCAUGUGAUCCACUUGAUGUAUGUUUUGGUGAUCAAUUUGCGGGUUCCGCCCAUGAACCUAUGCAUAGGGGUUGGCACACGUUUUCGUCUUGACUCUCUGGUAGAAACUUUGGGGCAUUCUUUGAAGUUCUUUGUGUUGGUUGAAUAGAUGAAUCUGAGAUUGUGUGAUGCAUAUCGUAUAAUCAUACCCACGGAUACUUGAGGUGACAUUGGAGUAUCUAGGUGACAUUAGGGUUUUGGUUGAUUUGUGUCUUAAGGUGUUAUUCUCGUAUGAACUCUAUGAUAGAUUGAACGGAAAGAAUAGCUUCAUGUUAUUUUACUACGGACUCUUAAAUAGAUCGAUCAGAAAUGAUAACUUUGAGGUGGUUUCGUACCCUACCAUAAUCUCUUCGUUUGUUCUCCGCUAUUAGUGACUUUGGAGUGACUCUUUGUUGCAUGUUGAGGGAUAGUUAUAUGAUCCAAUUAUGUUAUUAUUGUUGAGAGAAUUUGCACUAGUGAAAGUAUGAACCCUAGGCCUUGUUUCAACGCAUUGCAGUACCGUUUGUGCUCACUUUUAUCAUUAGUUACCUUGCUGUUUUUAUAUUUUCAGAUUACAAAAACCUAUAUCUACCAUCCAUAUACCACUUGUAUCACCAUAUCUUCGCCAAACUAGUGGACCUAUACAAUUUACCAUUGUAUUGGGUGUGUUGGGGACACAAUAGACUCUUUGUUAUUUGGUUGCAGUGUUGCUUGAGAGAUACCAUCUUGAUCCUGCGCCUCCUACGGAUUGACAAACAUUAGGUCAUCCACUUGAGGGAAAUUUGCUACUGUCCUACAAACCUCUGCACUUGGAGGCCCAACAACGUCUACAAGAAGAAGGUUGUGUAGUAGACAUCAGUGAUGCAUAGCAACAAUAGGGGAGAGUGUUUUCUACAUACCCUCGUAGACCGUAAGCGGAAGCGUUAUGACAACGUGGUUGAUGUAGUCGUACGUCUUCACGAUCCAACCGAUCCUAGCACCGAAGGUACGGCACCUCCGCGAUCUGCACACGUUCAGCUCGACGACGUCCCACAAACUCUAGAUCCAGCUGAGUGUCAGGGGAGAGCUUCGUCAGCAUGACGGCAUGAUGACGGUGAUGACGAAGUUACCGACGCAGGGCUUCGCCUAAGCACUACAACGAUAUGACCGAGGUGGAAAUCCGUGAAGGGGGCCACGAUUUUUUUUUGAAACUAUGACAUUUUUUAUAGCAAAUUCGGAAACUAUAUGGCCUAAUGUGUUAUUUGCAAAACUAUGACCCCGUCGGCCUCUUUUAGGCCGAAGACCAACUUUUUGGUCAGCACUAGGCCGAAGUAGACUCUUCGGUCUCCUAAUGGCCGAAGACAGGCAUAGAUGGGCAGAAGUGCUGUUUUCGGCUUUGCUUUGGCCGAAGACCACUCUUCGGUCAUCUUUUGGCCGAAGAGCGCCCGGCCGGCAAUCGAUGCAUGCGUAGCGUACAUAUGAUGCUAGACUGAUGCAUCGAAGGGCUGAUCGGUAUUGCAUGUGGUUCAUGUGUGGCUAAUGCAUGCAUCAGGACCGAGAUAGCAAUGCAUGCAUCAGGACUUGGUGCAUACGUACUAGCACACACGCAUGCCGCCAACGUGCGCACAUGUAUUGGCGGAGAAGUAAUGGCUGAAAUACCAGUACAAUAUAUGUACCCGAUAUAGUCCAGCCGGCAAGCACGCGUAUGUAUACAAAUACGUGCACACAACCAGCCAGCCGGCGAGCUGCCCACGUACUAAACACAUGCAUCGGCAUAGAAUCUCGGUGCAGCUAACGUGUGUGCACACGUUCAGGUCGUCGGUGCCGUACGCCGGAGUGCGCAGCAGUGUGCUUAUGAGCUCUUCGGCCAAAAGAUGACCGAAGAGUGGUCUUCGGCCCGAGCAAAGCCGAAAACAGCUCUUCGGCCCAGCUGCGCCCAUCUUCGGCCAUUAGGAGACUGAAAAGUCUAUUUCGGCCUAGUGCUGACCGAAAAGUUGGUCUUCGGCCUAAAAAAGGCCGACGGGGUCAUAGUUUUACAAAUAACACUUUAGGUCAUAUAGUUUCCGAAUUUGCUAUAAAAAGAUCAUAGUUUCAAAAAAAUAGGGGGGCACCGCACACGGCUAAGAUAUCAACUUGUGUGUCUAUGGGGUGCCCCCUCCCCCGUAUAUAAAGGAGUGGAGGAGGGGAGGGCCGGCCCUAUCUAUGGUGCGUCCUAGGGGGAGUCCUACUCCCACCGGGAGUAGGAUUCCCCCUUUCCCUAGUUGGAGUAGGAGAGAAGGAAGGGGAAGAGAGAGGGAAGGAAGGGGGCGACCCCCCACCCAAUUCGGAUUGGGCUAGGGGGGCGCGCUCUCCACCUUGGCCUUCCUCUCCUCUAUUCCACUAAGGCCCAAUAAGGCCCAUAUACUCCCCGGGGGUUUCGGUAACCCCCGGUACUCCGGUAAAUGCCUGAACUCACCCGGAACCAUUUCGAUGUCCAAACAUAGGCUUCCAAUAUAUCGAUCUUUAUGUCUCGACCAUUUCAAGACUCCUCGUCAUGUCCGUGAUCAUAUCCGGGACUGCGAACUACCUUCGGUACAUCAAAACACAUAAACUCAUAAUACCGAUCAUCACCGAACGUUAAGCGUGCGGACCCUACGGGUUCGAGAACUAUGUAGACAUGACCGAGACUCAUGUACGGUCAAUAACCAAUAGUGUAACCUAUAUGCUCAUAUUGGUUCCUACAUAUUCUAUGAAGAUCUUUAUCGGUCAAACCGCAUAACAACAUGCGUUGUUCCCUUUGUCAUCGGUAUGUUACUUGCCCGAGAUUCGAUCGUCGGUAUCUCAAUAUCUAGUUCAAUCUCGUUACCGGCAAGUCUCUUUACUCGUUCUGUAAUGCUACAUCCCGUAACUAACUCAUUAGUCACAUUGCUUGCAAGGCUUAUAGUGAUGUGCAUUACCGAGAGGGCCCAGAGAUACCUCUCCGAUACACGGAGUGACAAAUCCUAAUCUCGAUAUAUGCCAACUCAACAAACACCAUCGGAGACACCUAUAGAGCAUCUUUAUAAUCACCCAGUUACGUUGUGACGUUUGAUAGCACACUAAGUGUUCAUCCGGUAUUCGGGAGUUGCAUAAUCUCAUAGUCAUAGGAACAUGUAUAAGUUAUGGAGAAAGCAAUAACAAUAAACUAAACGAUCAAAGUGCUAAGCUAACAGAUGGGUCAAGUCAAUCACAUCAUUCUCUAAUGAUGUGAUCCCGUUCAUCAAAUGACAACUCAUGUCUAUGGCUAGGAAACUUAACAAUCUUUGAUUAACGAGCUAGUCAAGUAGAGGCAUACUAGUGACACUCUGUUUGUCUAUGUAUUCACACAUGUACUAAGUUUCCGGUUAAUACAGUUCUAGCAUGAAUAAUAAACAUUUAUCAUGAUAUAAGGAAAUAUAAAUAACAACUUUAUUAUUGCAUCUGGGGCAUAUUUCCUUCAUGUGAGUGGGGGCCACGACCAUGGGUGUGGGUGGCAGCUGUGGGUGGUGUUGGUGGUGACCGUGGCCAUGGGUGUGGGUGAUUGUGGAAUGAGAGGCGAGGACGGCCAUGGCUUACUGGCCGAGGCAGGCGCAAGGGCGACGUGGGCGGCGACAAGGAUGACGAGGCUGACGGCGGCUGUAGACAGCGAGGGCGAUGUGGGCGGCGAGGACGAGGCGAUGGCGGCGAAGGAAGAGAUGGGAGAGCGAGAGUGAGUGAGUGAGUGAGUGAAGUGGUGGGGAGGGUCGUGCAUGUGUGUGGAUAAUUUUUGGCGGUGCGACGGGUGAGACAGAAGGCCUGCCACUGCUACUUUAGAGUGGCAGGCGGCUUUGCAGACCUGCCACAAGCAGAGUUCUGAUUUUUGGCCGAAAUUCGGCCAUCUUGGCCUGGCCCGGUAGAUGUCUUUACCGGCACAAUAUUUUCAGCCCAGUUUGAAUUUUUCUAACCCAACCCAAGUUCCGGAGCCUUCCCAUAUGCUUUGCCUUAGUUAAAACGCUUGAACCGUAUACCCAAACCCCGACGAAGAUGAAACCGAAUGCAAAGUUUCGUCCCUGACGGAGCUCAUUUACGGUUUGGAUAUAUGGUUUACAGACCCUGCAUUUAUUAUAUGCUUUGCCUCGGUUAAAUCAAACUUCAUUUCUUGAAAUCAUUUUAGAUCCAAACUUUCUCAGAGAUUAGUACACACUAUCAAAAUCCCCAUGACCAAAUUUUAGGACUUUUUGAGUUAAUUUUCCAUUUUCGAGACAUUAAAUGACUUGCUGGCAACUAAAAGUGGUAGGACAACCCUCUCGUGUAAGAAAUAGCAGGUAAACGAGCUCCGAAAGAGAUGAAACUUUGCAUUCUAUCUUCAUUAGACACAUGUAGGGUGUGUAAAAAAAUUGAGGGCAUAUACUCCCUCCGUCCCAAAAUAAGUGUCGUUGAAGAACUAGGGGUAGCUUAGUGGCAAGGGAACAUAGUAGUGUAUCAUGCGCACUAAGGGGCUGUUUGGUUCCCAGCCACACCUUGCCACACUUUGUCACACCUAACUUUAGGCAAAUUUGAUCAAGUUAGGUAGGUGUUUGGUUCUUUUUUUUCUUGAAUACGCACGAGUGUGCGUAUCAUAUAUUAAAGAGGAAAGGGAAAAGACUCCCUCCAUGUUCGGAAAGUUACACGAGUAUUUACAAGUGGAUUUGAUCCACUCCGCAACAUCUUAAGCGAACUACUCGGCCCUGACCCACACCUCAAGGCCGUCCAAAAAUGCCUCGACUUCUCCCUUCAGUAGACCAGCAAGCAUCCAUGCUUGGGCUUCUCUCUGUAUGUUUCGUAGGACCUGACGAGUGGCAGGCGUUGCUCCGUCAAACACCACAGCGUUUCGGUGUGUCCACAGCUCCUAGAGGACGAGAAUGCAAAUUGGCCUUGCGAGUUUCUUGUGUUUCCCAUAGUCCUCUUGUCGAAGGCACCAGUCAGGCAGCGUCUCGUUCGUCGUUGGUGCCCGGUCUGGCUGGCCCGGGGCAAGGCAAACCUUUGUCCAAACCUCCCGAGCAAAAACACAUCCGAUCAUGAUGUGUGUCAUUGUUUCGUCGUGCUGGCUACAGAGGGGACAUGAGGCUUGGUGUGGGAGGCCCCGCCGUGCUAAUCUAUCUGAGGUCCAGCACCUGUCCUUGAUGGCCAACCAAACGAAGAAACGCUUGCGUAGCGGCGCCUUAGACUUCCAGGUGAAAUCAGCCGUAGGAGUGACUUGGAGGUCGGCGAACUUGGCCGCGUAAACCGAUCUCGCCGAAAACUUGUCGUCCUUCUCCCAAGCCCAGUAGACGGUGUCGCUUGAUGUCGGUUGGAUGUUGAGCCGUUCCACACGCUGCCAUAGGUCGAGGAAUUGUCGAAGCAUGGUUGUAGACAGGUUUGGCCCCACUUCCGCUGCCCAAUUUUGAUCCACCAGAGCAACAGCCACCGUGCGAGUCGCCCUGAUUUGUCCUGGUAUUUCUUUGUAAAGGAGUGGCGCCAGCUCCUCGAUCCGAUAGCCCUCAAGCCAUCUAUCUUCCUAGAAGAGCGUUGUCGUGCCAUCGCCCACGAAUGUUGCAGCCGCCGCGCGAAAGAGCGCCAUUGAUUCGGCCGGGGCCGAGAUCUUUAACUGAGCCCAGGGCCGGGACUGGUCAGUGCGUUGCAACCACGGCCAUCUCGCCAACAGUGCAGUGCUCAACCAUCUUAGGUUCGGUAUGCCAAGGCCACCCGCCCAUCUGGGUCGGCAAAUUGAGUCCCAUGCCACUGCGCAAUUCCCUCCAUGAGCUUCCAUUUUCCCACACCAAAGGAAGCCGCGACAAAUCUUUGUCAAAGCUGUGAUAGUCUUGUGUGGGAUCUGAAGUGCCAUCAUCGCAUGAACCGGAAUCGCGCACAGCCGCUUUCCAGUUGGAUUGGUUCUAACCACACCUAAGGCAAGGAUUUUUUUUAUGAGUAGUGAACCACACAUGUUAUAGACAUAAAAAGUGUGGCAAGAUUCCCUUAGCCAAGCCAAAGUGUGACUAAUAAUUUGAGCAACUCAACUAAGGCAAAUGUGGCAAGUGUGACAAAAAAUCAUAUGGCAAUAUAUGGCAAAGAUGAUCACAAUCCAAACAGGCCAGUGACACUUAUUUCCCUAAAAAAAGAGUCAGUGACAUUUAUUGACGGAGGGAGUACUGUAUUAUGUAUAGCUGACCUGCUGAUAUAUAUGGUACAUACAAGAGUUGCAACCAAUUUAUAUAUGUUAAUUUAUUACAAUAAUGUACAAAUGUACAAGUGUACAAGUGCAACCAUAACAUGCACGCAGAACCACCUAUCCUUCUCUCAUCUCUGACAGUAGAGACGAGAGAAAAAAAGGUCGCAAAAACCACCAACCCAAAACCAUUUCUCAAGGUGAGCUAAACGUUCUGUUCCCGGCCCUUCUCCACUGCCGGAAUCACCAAGGAAAGAAACGAAAAAGGACAAAAUCAUUCCUGACGAACAAAAUAGACACUAAUUAAAGCAGCUUCGACAAAUUUUUGUGUGUGGGUGUGUGUAAUUUCAUGCCAUGCCCGUGACUGACGAGCACGACGCAAUCUGUACCCCGCGCGCAGCAAUCGACACGCACGGUGCAACGGCCUGGCUAGG
Molecule: long non-coding RNA, 15479 nt
Filed under: Triticum aestivum (bread wheat)
Lineage: Eukaryota; Viridiplantae; Streptophyta; Magnoliopsida; Poales; Poaceae
Description: long non-coding RNA (TAES_LNC010659)
Source: RNAcentral